RNA transcript from Culex pipiens pallens (northern house mosquito), 3051 nucleotides. It is a transcript of the gene named kelch-like protein 5, with no coding region annotated. The transcript has 9 exons. NCBI's taxonomy places the organism in Eukaryota, Metazoa, Arthropoda, Insecta, Diptera, Culicidae. The record is from RefSeq and is a predicted model, not a curated record.
ACUCUAUAGAACACAUAGUUGGCGAUUUUGUGAGAACACAAAGAAGGAAACUGCCAUCGUCGUCGUAGAACGAACGAGUGUAAAAAAAUAGUUUAGAACCUCCUCGCGCAAAUGUGUGCAGAUUUGUGGUGUCUUGGUGCCUUGGCACAGCAUCAACCAUCAGCAGCAGCCAGUGAAGGGGAGAAAAAUCAGCUAUUCCAGUUACAUCGCGAAUGAGCCAUAAGCAGUCUUUGGCAGCAGACCGAACGGAGCGGACAAGUGAAUUCUCACACGGUGUUGUCGGCACACGGGCUUUGUACCAGCAGAAACCAUCCACACAAUCGGGCGAAAACCUUCAAAACCGAAAAGAUUAGCCAAGUGGAAAAAAAAACAAAGUUGUAGUGUUUAGUGCUGUACUAGCCUAUAGUGUCAGGAGUUCAGUGUUCAAUCAUGAGUGAAAUGUCGUCCAGUCCCAGUGCCAGCGCCCGGAUUAGCCUGGCCACGGACGAGAGUCACUUCAGCCUGGCCAGCCUCAACUCGACCGUCAGCCAGGACGAGUUCUUCCGGAACGUGAGGGAACACUCGGAGCUGGUUCUGAAACGGAUGCAGGAAUAUCUACAAAACGAGAAGCUGUGCGACGUGAUCUUGAUCGCCGGGAUAGACGGAAAGCGAAUUCCUGCCCACCGGUUAGUGCUAUCCGCUUCUUCAGCAUACUUCAGUGCAAUGUUCACCGGUCAGCUACGCGAAAGCCAACAGGAAGAAAUCACCCUGCAGGAAGUCAGCGGAGAAGCGCUGCAACUGCUCAUCCAGUACUGCUACACCGGUUCGAUCGAGCUGCGCGAAGAUACCGUUGAGACGCUGCUUGCCACGGCCUGUUUGCUGCAGCUCAGCACGAUCGUCAACGCGUGCUGCACCUUCCUAGCCCGCCAGCUGCAUCCGUCCAACUGUCUCGGAUUUUCGCUGUUUGCCGAACAGCAAGGUUGUACGGCCCUGCUGAAGAUCGCAUCCGCGUACACCUGCCAGCACUUUAUGCAGGUCUGGAAGAAUCAGGAAUUCUUCCAACUGGACUCGUUCCAGCUAUCGAAUCUGCUCAUGAGCGACGACCUAAACGUACCGAACGAACAGGAAGUGUUUCACGCCCUCAUGGCCUGGAUCCAGUUCGACCCGGACAACAGGAAAAAGUUCAUCCCUGACCUGUUGGCCCUGGUGCGGUUACCGCUGCUGCAACCUUCGUUCAUCGUUGACCACGUGGAGGCGCUAUGCGGAGCAAACGAGUGCCAACAGCUGGUGAUGGAGGCGUUCAAGUGGCACCUGAUACCGGGUCGACGGUCCCAGAUUUCGACGCAGCGGACACGGCCGCGAAAGUCGACCAUCGGGAAGCUGCUGGCCGUCGGAGGGAUGGAUGGCCACAAGGGCGCGAUAAGCAUAGAGAGCUACGAACCCCGGCUGGACAAGUGGACCCUGCUGAAGAAUAUGCCGGCGCGGCGGCUCCAGUUUGGGGUGGCCGUUAUGGACGAUAAGCUGAUUAUUGUGGGCGGUCGCGACGGUCUGAAGACACUCAACACGGUGGAGUGUUUCGACCUGACCGCUAUGACGUGGGGUUCGAUUGUUCCGCCGAUGGGGACGCCAAGACAUGGUCUUGGGGUGGCAUUCUUGGAGGGACCGCUGUACGCAGUUGGUGGUCACGAUGGGUGGUCCUACCUGGCCACGGUUGAGCGAUGGGAUCCUGCGUCACGAACCUGGAAUUACGUGGCUCCGAUGGCGUCGAUGAGAUCUACAGCCGGCGUGGCAGUGCUAGGCAGCCGGUUGUAUGUUAUCGGUGGUCGCGACGGAAGCGUCUGCCAUCGUACGGUAGAGUGUUACGACCCGCACACCAACAGGUGGACCCUGCGGGCCCCAAUGAACAAACGACGUGGCGGCGUUGGAGUUGGUGUUCUCAACGGGUUCCUGUACGCACUGGGCGGUCACGACUGUCCGGCCAGCAAUCCGGCGGUGUAUCGAACCGAAACGGUAGAACGCUACGACCCAACGACGGACACGUGGACUUUGAUUGCAUCGCUCAGCGUGGGUCGCGACGCGAUCGGAGUGAGUGUGAUCGGCGAUUGGUUGAUCGCGGUCGGCGGUUACGACGGAAACCAAUAUCUCAAGACGGUCGAGCAGUACGACACCGAGAGCAACGAGUGGCAGCAGAUUGCACCGGUGAACUACAGUCGUGCUGGGGCGUGUGUGGUGGCGAUCCCCAACAACGUGGCCACCCCCGGAACGGUACCUAUCGCGGCCGCUGCGGCUUCAUCUUCCAUGGCCCUGGCACCGGUGAAUGCUUCUCCAUCAACCACAAACACUACAGUUUAGUACAGUUCCCCCAUGGUUGCUAGCACUGCUGCUGCUGCUGCUGCUUUCCUAGGAGUGAUUCUCCAGAUAAUCCGGCAACUCAUGUUACAGAGGAGGAGCCGGUUCCUCUCGUAUCGGUAACAACUACUACUAUAGACGCCAGUUUAGGAUCUUUGAUUACUACGUGUAAAACACACUCGCACCGAGCGCUGCCCACACCAGUGAAGAUAUCUAAAGACCCACACACCCAUUUUCCGCCCUGUGAUGAUUCAUGUGUUUACUUUGUAAGGCUUGCCCAGUGAUUAUGAAAAAAAUUCCUUCUUUUCCAAAGAUUCGCAGCCAUUUCCCCCCUCUAUCUGUGAUCGGCUCAACAGACUGUGGCUAAGUUGCAGGGAAAGCUGAAGUUUUUUUUCUCCCUCUUCCCUCACAUCUGAUUUAUCCCUUAGUUUAGGUUCGGGACUAGUCUUCGCCCGGAAACGGGAUGAGAUUAUGCGUGAUAGUUUUUUUUUUCUCGUAAAGUAUUCAACAACAUUAUGGCAGAAAGAAGCGACAUUCUUGUGAAGUACGAUUUAGAUUUAGAUUUAAGAGAGACGUGUGUAGCGUGGAGUAGCCAGGAAACGAGCGCGGAGAUCGCUGACUUAGUCGCUUGCAGAAUGACUAUGCGAAAGAGUACUACUUUUGAUACUAUUUAUACCCGAAUAUACUGAUGAUCAAUUAAUAAACGAAGCUAUUUUAGUAUGA